RNAcentral lists this long non-coding RNA (456 nucleotides) under Lathyrus oleraceus (garden pea). RNAcentral describes it as "Pisum sativum (pea) long non-coding RNA (PSAT_LNC014854)". Lineage: Eukaryota; Viridiplantae; Streptophyta; Magnoliopsida; Fabales; Fabaceae. The record is from RNAcentral.
UCGUUAGCUUAUUCUUCCACUACUAUAAUCACUUUGCUACAAGAAAAAAAGAGGAUCAAGUUAAACUACCAUAUCAUGAAGUUAAAUCAUCAAAAAGUCAUGGAAAAAUCAUGAAAAACUCGAGAAACAAAAGAAAAAUUAUGCAUUUUUGCUAAGUAAAAUUAUGGUUUCUUCAAUGUAAUUCAAAGCAAUUCUAUGACAACAAAAAUCAGAAGUUGAUUCAUGAGUUUACACAAUUCAAAAGUCCACUUUUCAACACGUAAAAUCACUUUUCAAUGGCCAUGGAAGAGCUUAAUCCUACAACUUUUGUCCAUGAUUAAUUCAUCAAAAAAAUAGUCAAAAGAAUCAAGCUAAAACAUUUAAAUUCAAUUUUAUCACUAAUGACUUUUUGCCUUACAUCCUAACUUGGUACUUCUCCAAAAUUCCAAUAUUUCUACGUCUAAUUACCUCAUUCCU